CCUACGGGUGGCAGCAGUCGAGAAUCAUUCACAAUGGGGGAAACCCUGAUGGGGCGACGCCGCGUGGGGGAAUGAAGGUCUGCGGAUUGUAAACCCCUGUCAUGUGGGAGCAAAUUAAAAAGAUAGUACCACAAGAGGAAGAGACGGCGAACCCUGGGCCAGCAGCCGCGGUAAUCCAGAGGUCUCAAGCGUUGUUCGGAACCACUGGGCGUAAAGCGUGCGUCGGCUGUUUCGUAAGUCGUGGGUGAAAGGCGCGGGCUCAACCCGCGGACGGCACAUGAUACUGCGAGACUAGAGUACUGGAGGGGGAACCGGAAUUCUCGGUGUAGCCGUGAACUGCGUAGAUAUCGAGAGGAACACUCGUGGCGAAGGCGGGUUCCUGGACCUUACCUGCCGCUGAGGCACGAAGGCCAGGGGAGCGAAAUGGAUUAGAUACCCGUGUAGUC
RNAcentral lists this ribosomal RNA (446 nucleotides) under uncultured bacterium. RNAcentral's name for it is "partial 16S ribosomal RNA". It matches the Rfam family "Bacterial small subunit ribosomal RNA", at positions 338 to 795 of the family's 1533-position model. The record is from RNAcentral.